AGUCACUGACAUUAGAUACCCCUGUAGUCCAGGGUGUAAACGCUGCAGACUUGGUGUUGGAAGCCCUUUGGGGCAUUCAGUGCCGGAGAGAAGUUGUUAAGUCUGCUACUUGGGAGUACGUCCGCAAGGAUGAAACUUAAAGGAAUUGGCGGGGGAGCACCGCAACGGGAGGAGCGUGCGGUUUAAUUGGAUUCAACACCGUAAAACUCACCAGGGAAGACUGUUACAUGAAGGCCGAGAUGAAGACUCUGCUAGAUUUUCAG
This 263-nucleotide ribosomal RNA is filed under the name uncultured archaeon. RNAcentral describes it as "partial 16S ribosomal RNA". It matches the Rfam family "Archaeal small subunit ribosomal RNA", at positions 718 to 982 of the family's 1478-position model. The record is from RNAcentral.